UACGAAGGGGGCUAGCGUUGCUCGGAAUCACUGGGCGUAAAGCGCACGUAGGCGGAUUGCUAAGUCAGGGGUGAAAUCCUGGAGCUCAACUCCAGAACUGCCUUUGAUACUGGCGACCUUGAGUCCGGGAGAGGUGAGUGGAACUGCGAGUGUAGAGGUGAAAUUCGUAGAUAUUCGCAAGAACACCAGUGGCGAAGGCGGCUCACUGGCCCGGUACUGACGCUGAGGAGCGAAAGCGUGGGGAGCGAACAGG
Molecule: ribosomal RNA, 253 nt
Filed under: uncultured bacterium
Lineage: Bacteria
Description: partial 16S ribosomal RNA
Rfam family: Bacterial small subunit ribosomal RNA
Source: RNAcentral